GUACAAGAUGUCCUUGACUCUUCAUCAACUGCUACAUUAAUAAUGAACAUAACCCUGGGAAAUUUGGGGAUUUCAUAUGGUGCGAAGAGAGGUCACUUUGAGGUAUUCAGCUGGUGGAUGGCUUCUCUUACAUGUCCCCUUGGCAGGGAUCACUAGAAGUCUGGCUCAGCUGGGGCUAUUCACCAUGGUGGCUACAUAAUGGCUUCUCCAGUAUGGUGAUUUCAGGUUAGUUGAAUUUUUACAUUAUAGCUCAAGACUAGCAAACAUAGUGUUUGAAGAAGCUUGAGUGGAAGCUUCAAGACUUAUGACCAAGAUUAGAAGUCCUGGAAUGUCACUUCUACCAUUUUCUACUGCUCAAGAAAGUCACUAAGACCAGCCCAAAUCCAAGGAGAGAGGAAUUAGAUUUCAACUCUCAACAGGAGAAGUACCAUACUAAAGACUAUAUGACCAUCUUUGGUUGACUGGCAGGUCUUCUGCUCCAUGCUGUAUCAACUGGGGUCACACAAAUAUAAUUAGUUGGUGGCUGGGCUGGGUCUAGAAGAUUGAAAAAGACCCCCCUUAUACAUCUGGUGGCUCAGCUGGGGUGGUUUGAGUGGCUGGAGCACCUCGGUCCUCUUCCAGGUAGAUCUCUUCCUUGAGCAGUCUAAGCUGGCUUCCUUCAAACAUGACAACUGGUUUCCAAAAGGGUUCUUAAAGUCUCAGCUCAGAACAGGCACAGUGUCUAUCACUUCUGCUGCAUCCUCUUGGCCAAAAUAAGUCAUAAGUCCAGAUCAGAGCUGAGAAGAGGGGAAAUAGAUUCUCCUUCUUGAAGAGAAGAUUGGCAUGCACAUCUAAAGAUAAGAAUAAUUGUUGGCUACCUGUGUAGGAGCACAUUCCUUUUUUUGGGUACAAUUUACUGAGACUACACGGACUUGUUUGGCUUCUGCCCAGAAUUUUCCCCUUAGCAACUGCUAAGUUCAGUUGAUUUCCACAGUAGGCUCAGGCAAAGCAUAAGUGCUCUGUUCAGUAUCAACAUCAGACAGAGAGAAUUUUACUUGGACCUUUUCUAAUUACUUGCCACGGUUUAAUAAUUAUCAGUCUGUCUUCUCCCUCAACCCCUCUGAGCCAAAUCUGCCUAUGCCCUACUCUUAUUAUCGCUUUUUAAAUUAUUUGAACCUAACUACUUUCUGGGACCACAACAUCUUGUCUUUCUUCUUCAAGACAUCUUUGCUUUACAUCUUCAGAACAUUGUCAUCUUCUAGUAGUCUCUUUCCAGUAUUUUGGAAAAUACUUGCAUUGCUUCCAAUGGGAGAGUUGUUGUAGGUUCUACUCUUAUUGGUUCUAAGGAAAUUAAUCCCUUUAUUUCCAAAAUAAAGUGAUAGGUCCAAAUCGAUUUUAAAUAGAGUAAAACUUGGGUACACUUGGACCCAUAGGCUAUAAGGGGCCUGUGUGUAUAGAAAGUUUUAGUCAUUUUGAGAGUUCCCAUUAUAUAUUUUGAAAAUAAAAAUUUGGUCUUGAAUAGAAUCAAAUUUGGCCAGAUUUUCUUAACAAUCUGGCAGCAGUAUUAUGCUACUGGCAUAUUUAUUUUGGUUUGUCCCAAGCUUUAGCAAGAAUAGAGUAGGUAAGUUCCAAAUAUUUAAAUAAAUCUAUAUUUCAUUGCAAUAAUCUUAAAAAUUAAUAUAUUAUUCUGUGAGUUGCUUGAGACACUGUAAAACUUACCUAACUAAUGUCUAAAUGCCUAAGCAAUUAGAGGGCCAAAUUAUAUGUUAUCAAAUAAAAUGUAAACAUUCACCUCUAAACAAUAUCAAUAAGCAGGUUAAAUUUGUCUUUUGUAAUUCAGAAUGUUUCUGUUAGUGAAAAAUGUUGAAAAUUACAUAAAUGCAUUUAUUAUUGUAUGUCUCUCAAAAAAUGUAUUAUGCUUCUAUUACUUUGAUGUGUAAAGAAGGCAUAAAUACAUCUUUUUCUUUUAAGAGAUGGGGUCUCUCUAUGUUGCCCGGGCUGGAGUGCUGUGGCUAUUCACAGGUGUGAUAAUAGUGUACUGCAAUCCCAAACUCCUGGCCUCAAGAAAUCCUCUUGCCUUAGCCGCCCCAGGAGCUGGGACUAUGGGUGCAAGCUACCUUGGUGGCCAUAAAUAUAUCUUAUUGGGAAGUCAGGACUUCUCUGAGAGGGCUUUAAACAUGGUCAGGUUUUUAGAAUAGAAAAGUCUCUAUUGGCAGUGACAAAGGUUAAGAGCUGUCUUAGCAACAGAAAACUCUUAGAUAGUAGGCUACAUUUUAGCUAUAAGAAUGAAGAAAUCUUGGUGAGAAUCAUAUAUUAAUAUAUUUGUUAACAAUGCCUAUAUCUCACAUAGAUAUUAUAAGAUUGUCCUUUUAAGAAAUUAUCCUUUUAAGAUUUGUCAUGCUUUUCAAUUCAAAAAAACUCCCAUAGCCAAAAUGCAACUGAGAUCUGAAAUGUCAAAUUUUUGCACUCUCUGCUUUGUCAGAUUUCCAGUUGCUCUCUGGACCUUGGCCGACUUCACUGGCAAAGUCAAAUUGAUGACUUGCUUGUAUUUCUGAUUCCAGUUCUAUUAAUUCAAAGGGAUUCUUUUUGAAGAAUCAAAAAGUAUUCUCAGUAGACUUAUGCAAAUCAUUACUAGUUAUUGCUCUGUGUACUUUUAUUCAAAGUAAAAUUGAAAAACAUUAAGAACUUUCUGGGAUAGUUACAAAUUAUGUGAGUGCUAGUUUUUCUUAAAGUGUGCUCUUUAUUAAUUUUAUUUUUGACAAUUCCCAUCACCAUAUCUAUGAAACAACAUUCUUUCCUUAAGUUAAAAGACUAAUUUCAAAAACUAUUUAAGGAUUACUAUGGGAAAACAAAGAUUAACAAUCUAUAAUUAUUUAGCAUAGAAACUUAAGUGGUUGAAAAAAAUGGAAGUUUUAAAACAUUGCUGAUUUUUUUCAUGGCUAGUCAUAAUUAAAGUCUCCAAAAUGUGUUUUAAAAUUUAUCUUCUGUUUAAAUUAAUACAAUAUUGCAUAUUUAUCAGUGAUGUCAAAGUUUUCAAUUUCCAAGUAAAUAUUGGAAAAUUUUUAGUUUUCUUGUCUUCGUUAACUUCUUCUUUCCUUUCUUAUAAAAUUAACUUACAUCUUCCAUUUAUUUAUUUAUUUAUUUCUGAGACAGAGUUUCACUCUGUUGCCCAGGCUAGAGUGCAGUGGCACGAUCUCAGCUCACUGCAACCUCCGCCUCCCGGGGUCAAACAAUUAUCCUGCUUCAGCCUCCUGAGUAGCUGGGAUUACAGGCAUGCACCAUCAUGCCCGGCUAAUUUUUGUAUUUUUAGUAGACAUGGGGUUUUGCCAUGCUGACCAGGCUGGUCUUGAACUCCUGGCCUCAGGUUAUCCACCCGGGUUAGCCUCCCAAAGUGCUUGGAUUACAGGCGUGUGGAGCCCAGCCUACAUCUUCCAUUUUAAGAUUUUAUUUUUCACAUCACAUUUCUCUUCCAUAUUGUCUAAUCCCAGCUACACUUAUUAUUAUCCCCCCUCAUUUCAUUCAUGCCUGAUCCUUUUGUUUACUCUGCCUCUCCAGCUUGGAGCUCCUGUGUGUUUAUGACUAUGUUUGUAGCAAUGCUUUUGUAAUAGUAAGCAGACCUUCCACUGAUUCAGCAAAGACUUAUUGAGCACCUAUUAUGUGCCAAUCAGAGUGCUAGAUUUUGUAGGUAAGAUAAUGAUAAUCCUGCUGAGCUCUUUGAAGUUAGGGGUAUGUCUUCUUCCUCCUGGUAUUCCCUAGAGCUGAACACACACCUGACCCAUGAUAGAGCUUCCAUAAAUCAUUAUUAAAAGUAUAGCCUAGACAAUCCUAAGCAAAAAGAACAAAGCUGGAGGCAUCACACUACCUGACUUCAAACUAUUCUACAAGGCUACAGAACCAAAGCAGCAUGGUACUGGUACCAAAACAGACAUAGAGACCAAUGGAACAGAAGAGACCUCAGAAAUAACACCACACAUCUACGACCAUAUGAUCUUUGACAAACCUCACAAAAACAAGUCAUGGGAAAAGGAUUCCCUAUUUAAUAAAUGGUUCUGGGAAAACUGGGUAGCCAUAUGUAGAAAGCUGAAACUGGAUCCCUUUCUUACACCUUAUAUAAAAAUUAAUUCAAGAUGGAUUAAAGACUUAAAUGUUAG
Molecule: long non-coding RNA, 4130 nt
Filed under: Homo sapiens (human)
Lineage: Eukaryota; Metazoa; Chordata; Mammalia; Primates; Hominidae
Description: HSALNT0374168
Source: RNAcentral